GACGAACGCUGGCGGCGUGCUUAACACAUGCAAGUCGAACGGAAAGGCCCUGCUUUUGUGGGGUGCUCGAGUGGCGAACGGGUGAGUAACACGUGAGUAACCUGCCCUUGACUUUGGGAUAACUUCAGGAAACUGGGGCUAAUACCGGAUAGGAGCUCCUGCUGCAUGGUGGGGGUUGGAAAGUUUCGGCGGUUGGGGAUGGACUCGCGGCUUAUCAGCUUGUUGGUGGGGUAGUGGCUUACCAAGGCUUUGACGGGUAGCCGGCCUGAGAGGGUGACCGGCCACAUUGGGACUGAGAUACGGCCCAGACUCCUACGGGAGGCAGCAGUGGGGAAUAUCGCACAAUGGGCGGAAGCCUGAUGCAGCAACGCCGCGUGCGGGAGGACGGCCUUCGGGUUGUAAACCGCUUUCGCCUGUGACGAAGCGUGAGUGACGGUAAUGGGGAAAGAAGCACCGGCGAACUACGU
This 467-nucleotide ribosomal RNA is filed under the name uncultured bacterium. RNAcentral's name for it is "partial 16S ribosomal RNA". It matches the Rfam family "Bacterial small subunit ribosomal RNA", at positions 28 to 506 of the family's 1533-position model. The record is from RNAcentral.